Molecule: ribosomal RNA, 492 nt
Filed under: uncultured bacterium
Lineage: Bacteria
Description: bacterial SSU rRNA
Rfam family: Bacterial small subunit ribosomal RNA
Source: RNAcentral
UGCAGUCGAGCGGUAGAGAGAAGCUUGCUUCUCUUGAGAGCGGCGGACGGGUGAGUAAUGCCUAGGAAUCUGCCUGGUAGUGGGGGAUAACGUUCGGAAACGGACGCUAAUACCGCAUACGUCCUACUGGGAGAAAGCAGGGGACCUUCGGGCCUCGUGCUAUCUUAUGAGGCUAGGUCGGCAUCUAGCGUAGAUGGUGGGGUAAUGGGUCACCGAGGCGACGAUCCGUAACUGGUCUGAGAGGAUGAUCAGUCACACUGUGAACUGAGACACGGUCCAGACUCCUACGGGAGGCAGCAGUGUUGGAAUAUUGGACAAUGGGCGAAAGCCUGAUCCAGCCAUGCCGCGUGUGUGAAGAAGGUCUUCGGAUUGUAAAGCACUUUAAGUUGGGAGGAAGGGCAGUAAAUUAAUACUCUGCUGUUUUGACGUUCCCGACAGAAUAAGCGCCGGCUAACUCUGUGCCAGCAGCCGCGGUAAUACAUAUGGUGCAAG